GAGAGUAGUAGAAUCAGGAGAGGAGAGUAGUAGAAUCAGGAGAGGAGAGUAGUAGAAUCAGGUGAGGAGAGUAGUAGAGAGUAGUAGAAUCAGGUGAGGAGAGUAGUAGAAUCAGGAGAGGAGAGUAGUAGAAUCAGGAGAGGAGAGUAGUAGAGAGUAGAGAGGAGAGUAGUAGAAUCAGGAGAGGAGAGUAGUAGAAUCAGGAGAGUAGUAGAAUCAGGGGAGGAGAGUAGUAGAAUCAGGAGAGUAGUAGAAUCAGGGGAGGAGAGUAGUAGAAUCAGGAGAGGAGAGUAGUAGAAUCAGGAGAGAAGAGUAGUAGAAUCAGGAGAGGAGAAUAGUAGAAUCAGGAGAGGAGAGUAGUAGAAUCAGGAGAGGAGAGUAGUAGAAUCAGGGGAGGAGAGUAGUAGAGAGUAGUAGAAUCAGGAGAGGAGAGUAGUAGAAUCUCUACUACAGGAGAGUAGUAGAAUCAGUAGAGGAGAGUAGUAGAAUCUCUACUACAGGAGAGUAGUAGAAUCAGUAGAGGAGAGUAGUAGAAUCAGG
RNAcentral lists this long non-coding RNA (540 nucleotides) under Salmo salar (Atlantic salmon). RNAcentral's name for it is "lncRNA (ENSSSAG00000112510.1)". Lineage: Eukaryota; Metazoa; Chordata; Actinopteri; Salmoniformes; Salmonidae. The record is from RNAcentral.